This is a non-coding RNA of Oryza sativa Japonica Group (Japanese rice), 1575 nucleotides long. The record is from RefSeq and is a predicted model, not a curated record. Lineage: Eukaryota; Viridiplantae; Streptophyta; Magnoliopsida; Poales; Poaceae.
UCGUUUACUACUUCUUUCUAUCCUGGAUAAAAGAUUGCAAAGAGGCCUGGCUUUUUUUUAUUAUUGUCCUUCCCAGUCCGCAGUCCCCACUCUCGAGUCUGGACUCCUCCGCUGCUCUCCACUCAUCAAUCUACUCCUCGCUCGACCUCGGUGUCUCCGUCUUUGCCGCGGUGCCGCCGUGUCGCUGCUACAACGGCCUUCAGUCUAUGGCCUUCUUCGCAGGAAGCUCGAAGGCGCCUGCAUCUGCAAGAUUGAAGUUGCGCCGGCAACAUGAUCAGCAAAGAGAAGUCUGCGAUGCGCUCCCUGUCCCCCACCUCCUGCAAUCCCUCCUGCUUCUCGGGCCAGCGGCCGGAUCCGCAGCCCACGAUACCUUCGCCCGCCGCAUCCGGAAGACAACUCCCAUAUUCCCAAGCCGAUGUGAUUAUCGGCGCAAAAAUCUGGUAGUGAGCUUUGGUGCUGGACAAAGCACCAGUGAGUGUGAGUUGUGCGAUACAGCUAGCGUUGCUUGCGUCCAUUCACUUGCUCUCUGCCUCUUUUGCUCAUUUGCAUCACCAUCCAGUAUGUAUAGGCUCGGUGAUUUUGGUACUCACCUGCAGGCAGGCAUGCAUGCAUCCUACUUGGGUAAUUUUAACCAGUUCUUUGGUGUUCUAAAUGGAAGGAGUAUAAAUAAAGGACACGAGCGGGUGGUUCGCCGCGGCGUCAUCGGCCGUGACGCGCAGGUGGCGGAGGAUCCGGCACGGCGCCACCGCUCACUCGCACACGCCGCCUCCUCUCCUCCUCCGCUAGCUAGCGCCCCUCCCUUCUCCUGAUCCAGGCCGAUGGCCAGUGCCGUCCCUCUUCUUUCUCCCCGGGUUCAAUGGAUCUGGCAAGUCUGUAUUGGGACGGGCGUUCUCGAGGGUGACUCCUGCCGGUGAGAUAGAAGCGUUGAGGAAGGGCAGCAGCAUGGCCGGCGGGGAGCACAGGGGAGGGCGAGGUGGCCGGGUGAAUGUGAAGAAGACGAGCCCAACGCCGUUGAGGGAGAACAUCAGAACAUGAAGCGGGUGGUCGGCCGCAACGCGCGGGUGGCGGAGGAGCCGGUGGAUUAGGGUCGAGCAAUUCUGCAAAUAAAAAAUACAGUAACUCCGUAGUUUUACGAUGAGGUCCACCGCAACGAACUUUAGCCGUCGAUACUUAAUCAAACGGUGCAGGAGGAGUGCCAAGGAGACACGUGGCAGAUUUCUAGAGAGGUGAAGCUUGAUUUCCAGAGUGCCACGUGGCCAAAUCAAGCGCCAGGUUUCGGACCCUGCAAUCGAUAUAUAAUAUUUGCCGGAGCCGCAACAGCGAGGCCAUGAGGCCCAUGACGCGACUGGAAAUACUCCAGGACAGCUCGCCGGCUGCUGCUCUGCAGUGCUAUAUACUCUCAGGCUGUGUUUGGAUAAUGGAAAAUAGGGGGUGGGAUUGGGAUUGGGAAAUGAAUGAAGGGUUAGGAUUAAAUGAAAGAGGGAGAAUGAAUGGUUAGGAUUUAAAGAUGUCUUUUUGUGGGUGGGAAAUUAUUUCCAUUUCCCAUUAGCCAAACAUUGUCUCAAUCUGUUCAAA